RNAcentral lists this transfer RNA (69 nucleotides) under Nyctibius grandis. Its description in RNAcentral is "tRNA-Asp". Lineage: Eukaryota; Metazoa; Chordata; Aves; Nyctibiiformes; Nyctibiidae. The record is from RNAcentral.
GAGAUGUUAGUAAAGCAAUUACGUAGCCUUGUCAAGACUAAAUCGCAGGUGAAACCCCCGUACAUCUCA